GCGCCCAUAGCCCAAUUGGAUAGAGCAUCUGACUACGAAUCAGAAGGCUGCAGGUUCAACUCCUGCUGGGCGCA
This 74-nucleotide transfer RNA is filed under the name Candidatus Firestonebacteria bacterium RifOxyC12_full_39_7. Its description in RNAcentral is "tRNA-Arg". It matches the Rfam family "tRNA". Rfam says of the family: Transfer RNA (tRNA) molecules are approximately 80 nucleotides in length. Their secondary structure includes four short double-helical elements and three loops (D, anti-codon, and T loops). Further hydrogen bonds mediate the characteristic L-shaped molecular structure. tRNAs have two regions of fundamental functional importance: the anti-codon, which is responsible for specific mRNA codon recognition, and the 3' end, to which the tRNAs corresponding amino acid is attached (by aminoacyl-tRNA synthetases). tRNAs cope with the degeneracy of the genetic code in two manners: having more than one tRNA (with a specific anti-codon) for a particular amino acid; and 'wobble' base-pairing, i.e. permitting non-standard base-pairing at the 3rd anti-codon position. RNAcentral also lists the same sequence under 3 other names. The record is from RNAcentral. Lineage: Bacteria; Candidatus Firestoneibacteriota.